Molecule: ribosomal RNA, 480 nt
Filed under: uncultured bacterium
Lineage: Bacteria
Description: partial 16S ribosomal RNA
Rfam family: Bacterial small subunit ribosomal RNA
Source: RNAcentral
GACGAACGCUGGCGGCGUGCCUAACACAUGCAAGUCGAGCGAUGACACUUUAACAGAACCCUUCGGGGCGUAGAUACAGUGGAUUAGCGGCCGACGGGUGAGCAACACUUUAGUAAUCUGCCUCCGACAUUGGAAUAGCCCUGGGAACCCGGGAUUUAUACCAACUCAAAUCACAAUGAUACAUGUCAUUAUGAUCAAGACUUAGAUGAUCUAGGAGGGACGCGCGUCCCAUUAGCUAGUUGGGAGGUUAAAAGCCUACCAAGGCGACGACGGGUAGCCGGCCUGAGAGGGUGAGCCGCCACAUUGGAGCUGAGAAGCGGUCCAGACUCCUACGGGAGGCAGCAGUGGGGAAUAGUGCACAAUGGAGGGAACGCUGAUGCAGCGAGGCCGGGUGAACGAAGAAGGCUGUCGAGACGUAAAAUGCAUUUAAAUGGGAAGAUAAUGACGGUACCAGAAGAAAAAGCCCCGGCUAACUACGUG